CUAAUCUGUCAAGAGAGAACAGUGCAACAAUUAAAAAAAUUAUGGACUAAUUUGAAGCAAACUCAAAGGGAAGUUUUAACUAAAAAAAAGCAAUCACGCGACUAGCAACUAGUGGAAGACCAGAAGAUAUAGAGGCAAGUGUGGACCCCGAUAUUCUUAAUAUUGCACCGCAUCUUAUGGAAAAUGCACCAGUGCUGUUCUCAUCAAACAUGACAGAAACUGAAAUUAAAGGUAAGUCUGAAAUUAAUUAUGUUGAACCAAAGUAAGUUAAGCAUACCUUUGAACUAAAGUAUCUUAAAAUGUGACGUAAUAGAACACUUUUAUAAAUAGUUUCGUUUUUAGCGACAAAAAAUCUGUAAGAAUCUUGUCUGGUUCGUGAUCUAAAAAAAGAAAUUAAAUUUGUCUGACAGUGAUAUUUAUUAAGUCUUAAUUAUAUUUAUUUUAGUUAUAUUUAUUGAUAUUAUUUUUAUUCUACAUAUAGAUUAUAUUUAUUAAUUAUAUCUAUUGAAUCUUUUCUGAUAUUAAUGUGUUUUAAUCUUAUUUAUUAACUUUAUGUAUGCAUUUUAGAAAAACGCGAGUUGGUAUUUAACAUAUCUGCAAAUGAAAAUGUAGAUAUUGUUGCGAACGUGAGCUUCGCGAGCGUGAGCUUUGCGCGCGUUGUGAGCGCAAGCUUAACGCGAAAAAUCAAUAUAUCGAUUGCUUCAGUCAGCUGAGUCUAUCGGCCCCGGCGUUGCUUAAUUAUGUAUAAACAAAUGGUUUUGUUUAGAACUUCCUGAGACGUCAACUCGUGCGGACGUGCUUGGAAUAGUUGUAAUCGUGUUCGCAGCUUUUAAUAAAGUUUCUCGUUUGCCAAAAGCGUGUUUUUAUUCCGCCGCGCUCGCGAGCGGAAGAGUGUGUGUUGGUGGAAAUGCGAGAGUGCUUCGGGAAGCGCAACAAUAUGUUAAACUGUUUGGCAAAUGAUGACAACGAUAUAAUUGUUGAUUUACAAGAUAAACACAAGUUUGCAGAUAUAAUAUCUACUAAUGAAAAUUUAAAAAGAGUAGUGCAAACGAGCAUUUGAUUAAUGAUGAGAGCGAUAUAAAAAUUGCUGAUUUACAAGAUACACCAACUUUGAAAACAUCAGAAACAGUCUACUCCAGAUUUACAACGAAAAAAGAGGAAAUGCAUAAAGCAAGACUUAUCGGAUACAGAAGAAAACUUAAGAAUUCAACGUAUUAAACUAGUGAUGGAGCAAGAGCAGCAUUUAGCGAUUGCCAAGUUAAGACAUAAAGAAAAUAUGGUCAAAAUUAAAGAAAAUCAUUUAAAACAAUUAAAUGAAAUUGAAAUACAUCAUAAAAACGAUAUAAAUAAAUUAGAAACAGAAAUUAAUCAAACUAAACUGAUAAUUUUAGAAAAACAAUAUUUAAACAAAGAAAAUAUUAAUUUAAGAUUGUAAGAUAUGAUAAGAGAUGCAUGUCGAUAAAAUUCAGCAAGAAUUAUACAUGUUGGAUACAUGGAUAUAUUUUUUUACAUUUUUAUGGUGUAUUUCAAUUUUAUUCAAUUGUUUUAAAUGAUGUAAUAAAAUAUAUAUGUUGGCAUAAAUAAAAGCAAAACUAAGUUUUGUGUGAUGUUAUCGUGCAAUGUUUUAUUUCAUAAAAAAAUUGAUUUUAAACAAUAUAACAUAAUACUUUAAAUAUAUAUAAACUAUGUUUCUAAUGAUAUUCUAUAAUUAAUGUUAACUUCAAUGAUGUUUCUAUUAUUUAUGUCCCAAUAAAUACGUUUUAUAAGUAACAAUUUGUCGCAAAAUUAACACAUUAUUUUUAUGAAAUAUGUAGCAAGUAUUGAAACAAAUAAAAGAAAUGUAAUAUGAA
Long non-coding RNA from Monomorium pharaonis (pharaoh ant), 1850 nucleotides. RefSeq lists it as uncharacterized. The transcript has 4 exons. NCBI's taxonomy places the organism in Eukaryota, Metazoa, Arthropoda, Insecta, Hymenoptera, Formicidae. The record is from RefSeq and is a predicted model, not a curated record.